This 483-nucleotide ribosomal RNA is filed under the name uncultured bacterium. Its description in RNAcentral is "bacterial SSU rRNA". It matches the Rfam family "Bacterial small subunit ribosomal RNA", at positions 501 to 986 of the family's 1533-position model. The record is from RNAcentral.
CUACGUGCCAGCAGCCGCGGUAAUACGGAAGAUCCGGGCGUUAUCCGGAAUUAUUGGGUUUAAAGGGAGCGCAGGCGGGAGUAUAAGUCAGCUGUUAAAUAUCAGAGCCCAACUCUGUUAUGCAGUUGAAACUAUAUUUCUUGAGUACGCACAGGGAUGGCGGAAUUCAGGGUGUAGCGGUGAAAUGCUUAGAUAUCCUGAAGAACUCCGAUCGCGAAGGCAGCCAUCCGGAGCGUAACUGACGCUGAGGCUCGAAGGUGCGGGUAUCGAACAGGAUUAGAUACCCUGGUAGUCCGCACGGUAAACGAUGAAUACUCGCAGUUCGGUCAUUAUGGUCGAGUUGUCCAGCGAAAGCGUUAAGUAUUCCACCUGGGGAGUACGCCGGCAACGGUGAAACUCAAAGGAAUUGACGGGGGCCCGCACAAGCGGAGGAACAUGUGGUUUAAUUCGAUGAUACGCGAGGAACCUUACCCGGGCUUGAAC